Molecule: long non-coding RNA, 125 nt
Organism: Bufo bufo (common toad)
Lineage: Eukaryota; Metazoa; Chordata; Amphibia; Anura; Bufonidae
Exons: 3
Source: RefSeq, a predicted model, not a curated record
CUGACACACAGGAACCAGCAUUCCAGCAACAGCACCCAGACUUGCCUUCUGGUUUACCCCUCCGGGAAACCAUGGAGCCCCCUUCCGGAGGCACAACUAACAGGGAGACAUGAACCUGCCCACUA